UAGAUGGAGUUAGAGGGUUGAAAAGGGUUGUGGAGGAGAUGAGGAGGGAGAGGGAGCAGGAGAAGGAGAAAGAAAAGGAAAGGGACAAAGGAAAAGAAAUGAAAACCCUACCUUACAAGGCCACUCAUCUCAAUCUAGAACACAGCGACGAUGACGACAACGAACCGUUCCGCUCCCCCUCCCUACCCCCCAUCCUUCAUGCUCCGCACAGCCAACAGCGCCAGAGAAACAACAUCCCAUCCACAAUCUCUGGCACGCCCACAAUGACCCACCUCCCUAGCUCAGUACUAACCCGCAGCUCCCUCCCGCCACAAGCACCACACGAUGGCUACUCCGCCAUCCUCGUCCCAGAUUCCAUGCCACCCGCACCCCCAUCACCGCAUCCCGACCAAACCCCUGCCGCCCACUGCGAAUUCCAAACCUCUCCGCCACAACUCCCCCGCUCCCCCAUAGCUCAACCCCCAGGAAAAUUCGAAUGCGCGAAUAUAGAAAAGGCAAAAGAAGAUGAAGUCCAGGCUCCGCGACAGGGGCCUGGCGAAACUCUUGGGUCGUAUAUGGAACGCUGUCGGGUGGUGUUAUCGCGAUGUCCACGGGG
This 595-nucleotide small RNA is filed under the name Histoplasma ohiense. RNAcentral's name for it is "hypothetical lncRNA". The record is from RNAcentral. Lineage: Eukaryota; Fungi; Ascomycota; Eurotiomycetes; Onygenales; Ajellomycetaceae.